UACGGGAGGCAGCAGUGGGGAAUAUUGCACAAUGGGCGCAAGCCUGAUGCAGCCAUGCCGCGUGUAUGAAGAAGGCCUUCGGGUUGUAAAGUACUUUCAGUCGUGAGGAAGGUGUUAAGGUUAAUAACCUUAGCAAUUGACGUUAGCGACAGAAGAAGCACCGGCUAACUCCGUGCCAGCAGCCGCGGUAAUACGGAGGGUGCGAGCGUUAAUCGGAAUUACUGGGCGUAAAGGGCACGCAGGCGGUUAAUUAAGUUGGAUGUGAAAUCCCCGGGCUUAACCUGGGAAUGGCAUUCAAGACUGGUUAGCUAGAGUCUUGUAGAGGGGGUUAGAAUUCCAUGUGUAGCGGUGAAAUGCGUAGAGAUGUGGAGGAAUACCGGUGGCGAAGGCGGCCCCUGGACAAGACUGACGCUCAUGUGCGAAAGCGUGGGGAGCGAAACAGGGAUUAGAUACC
Molecule: ribosomal RNA, 454 nt
Filed under: uncultured bacterium
Lineage: Bacteria
Description: bacterial SSU rRNA
Rfam family: Bacterial small subunit ribosomal RNA
Source: RNAcentral